UUAAGCGACUAAGCGUACACGGUGGAUGCCCUGGCAGUCAGAGGCGAUGAAGGACGUGCUAAUCUGCGAUAAGCGUCGGUAAGGUGAUAUGAACCGUUAUAACCGGCGAUUUCCGAAUGGGGAAACCCAGUGUGUUUCGACACACUAUCAUUAACUGAAUCCAUAGGUUAAUGAGGCGAACCGGGGGAACUGAAACAUCUAAGUACCCCGAGGAAAAGAAAUCAACCGAGAUUCCCCCAGUAGCGGCGAGCGAACGGGGAGCAGCCCAGAGCCUGAAUCAGUGUGUGUGUUAGUGGAAGCGUCUGGAAAGGCGCGCGAUACAGGGUGACAGCCCCGUACACAAAAAUGCACAUGCUGUGAGCUCGAUGAGUAGGGCGGGACACGUGGUAUCCUGUCUGAAUAUGGGGGGACCAUCCUCCAAGGCUAAAUACUCCUGACUGACCGAUAGUGAACCAGUACCGUGAGGGAAAGGCGAAAAGAACCCCGGCGAGGGGAGUGAAAAAGAACCUGAAACCGUGUACGUACAAGCAGUGGGAGCACGCUUAGGCGUGUGACUGCGUACCUUUUGUAUAAUGGGUCAGCGACUUAUAUUCUGUAGCAAGGUUAACCGAAUAGGGGAGCCGAAGGGAAACCGAGUCUUAACUGGGCGUUAAGUUGCAGGGUAUAGACCCGAAACCCGGUGAUCUAGCCAUGGGCAGGUUGAAGGUUGGGUAACACUAACUGGAGGACCGAACCGACUAAUGUUGAAAAAUUAGCGGAUGACUUGUGGCUGGGGGUGAAAGGCCAAUCAAACCGGGAGAUAGCUGGUUCUCCCCGAAAGCUAUUUAGGUAGCGCCUCGUGAAUUCAUCUCCGGGGGUAGAGCACUGUUUCGGCAAGGGGGUCAUCCCGACUUACCAACCCGAUGCAAACUGCGAAUACCGGAGAAUGUUAUCACGGGAGACACACGGCGGGUGCUAACGUCCGUCGUGAAGAGGGAAACAACCCAGACCGCCAGCUAAGGUCCCAAAGUCAUGGUUAAGUGGGAAACGAUGUGGGAAGGCCCAGACAGCCAGGAUGUUGGCUUAGAAGCAGCCAUCAUUUAAAGAAAGCGUAAUAGCUCACUGGUCGAGUCGGCCUGCGCGGAAGAUGUAACGGGGCUAAACCAUGCACCGAAGCUGCGGCAGCGACGCUUAUGCGUUGUUGGGUAGGGGAGCGUUCUGUAAGCCUGCGAAGGUGUGCUGUGAGGCAUGCUGGAGGUAUCAGAAGUGCGAAUGCUGACAUAAGUAACGAUAAAGCGGGUGAAAAGCCCGCUCGCCGGAAGACCAAGGGUUCCUGUCCAACGUUAAUCGGGGCAGGGUGAGUCGACCCCUAAGGCGAGGCCGAAAGGCGUAGUCGAUGGGAAACAGGUUAAUAUUCCUGUACUUGGUGUUACUGCGAAGGGGGGACGGAGAAGGCUAUGUUGGCCGGGCGACGGUUGUCCCGGUUUAAGCGUGUAGGCUGGUUUUCCAGGCAAAUCCGGAAAAUCAAGGCUGAGGCGUGAUGACGAGGCACUACGGUGCUGAAGCAACAAAUGCCCUGCUUCCAGGAAAAGCCUCUAAGCAUCAGGUAACAUCAAAUCGUACCCCAAACCGACACAGGUGGUCAGGUAGAGAAUACCAAGGCGCUUGAGAGAACUCGGGUGAAGGAACUAGGCAAAAUGGUGCCGUAACUUCGGGAGAAGGCACGCUGAUAUGUAGGUGAAGCGACUUGCUCGUGGAGCUGAAAUCAGUCGAAGAUACCAGCUGGCUGCAACUGUUUAUUAAAAACACAGCACUGUGCAAACACGAAAGUGGACGUAUACGGUGUGACGCCUGCCCGGUGCCGGAAGGUUAAUUGAUGGGGUUAGCGCAAGCGAAGCUCUUGAUCGAAGCCCCGGUAAACGGCGGCCGUAACUAUAACGGUCCUAAGGUAGCGAAAUUCCUUGUCGGGUAAGUUCCGACCUGCACGAAUGGCGUAAUGAUGGCCAGGCUGUCUCCACCCGAGACUCAGUGAAAUUGAACUCGCUGUGAAGAUGCAGUGUACCCGCGGCAAGACGGAAAGACCCCGUGAACCUUUACUAUAGCUUGACACUGAACAUUGAGCCUUGAUGUGUAGGAUAGGUGGGAGGCUUUGAAGUGUGGACGCCAGUCUGCAUGGAGCCGACCUUGAAAUACCACCCUUUAAUGUUUGAUGUUCUAACGUGGACCCGUAAUCCGGGUUGCGGACAGUGUCUGGUGGGUAGUUUGACUGGGGCGGUCUCCUCCUAAAGAGUAACGGAGGAGCACGAAGGUUGGCUAAUCCUGGUCGGACAUCAGGAGGUUAGUGCAAUGGCAUAAGCCAGCUUGACUGCGAGCGUGACGGCGCGAGCAGGUGCGAAAGCAGGUCAUAGUGAUCCGGUGGUUCUGAAUGGAAGGGCCAUCGCUCAACGGAUAAAAGGUACUCCGGGGAUAACAGGCUGAUACCGCCCAAGAGUUCAUAUCGACGGCGGUGUUUGGCACCUCGAUGUCGGCUCAUCACAUCCUGGGGCUGAAGUAGGUCCCAAGGGUAUGGCUGUUCGCCAUUUAAAGUGGUACGCGAGCUGGGUUUAGAACGUCGUGAGACAGUUCGGUCCCUAUCUGCCGUGGGCGCUGGAGAACUGAGGGGGGCUGCUCCUAGUACGAGAGGACCGGAGUGGACGCAUCACUGGUGUUCGGGUUGUCAUGCCAAUGGCACUGCCCGGUAGCUAAAUGCGGAAGAGAUAAGUGCUGAAAGCAUCUAAGCACGAAACUUGCCCCGAGAUGAGUUCUCCCUGACUCCUUGAGAGUCCUGAAGGAACGUUGAAGACGACGACGUUGAUAGGCCGGGUGUGUAAGCGCAGCGAUGCGUUGAGCUAACCGGUACUAAUGAACCGUGAGGCUUAACCUU
RNAcentral lists this ribosomal RNA (2902 nucleotides) under Escherichia coli. RNAcentral's name for it is "bacterial LSU rRNA". It matches the Rfam family "Bacterial large subunit ribosomal RNA". Lineage: Bacteria; Pseudomonadati; Pseudomonadota; Gammaproteobacteria; Enterobacterales; Enterobacteriaceae. The record is from RNAcentral.